GACUGUAGUUGUUGCAGGUAAUCCUUAGGUCGCUGGUUCGAAUCCGGCAGGUCGGAUUUUUUAUU
RNAcentral lists this small RNA (65 nucleotides) under Oryza sativa Japonica Group (Japanese rice). RNAcentral describes it as "sRNA Os03g0190301". Lineage: Eukaryota; Viridiplantae; Streptophyta; Magnoliopsida; Poales; Poaceae. The record is from RNAcentral.